UACAGCAGGCAGGUUUCUUUUGAAGAGCAGUCAUGCCAGUUUAUCAGUAAAAAAAAAAAAAGAAGAAUCCGCAGUCCUCUCUGUAAAUCUCACAGAUCAUUAGCUUUGUUUUUCUCUUUGUGGAAUUAUCAAGUGGAGUCCCAUCAGUGUGAACAAUGGUCCUACGAAGAUCAGAGGAAUCAUAACAAGCAGCUAUUUUUGAAUUGGGACAAGGACACGUGCCAUUAUGUGUCAUCGCCAAGGUCUGGUUUAACGCUACAGCCGUCCACGCCUCCCUGUCCUUCAACCCUGCAGUCAAACGUUCCUGCUGUAGGUUGGGUUGACUCUGUGCCAUAGAGAGAAUCCACAAGCUGGAAGCUGAAGGUCAGAGGACGAGCCGAUGUCAGGUCGUUGGAGCCGAGGAAAGUGGAGAUGAUGCCGUUCUGGUCCACCUUUCUGAUCGUA
This is a long non-coding RNA of Melanotaenia boesemani (Boeseman's rainbowfish), 444 nucleotides long. RefSeq lists it as uncharacterized. Lineage: Eukaryota; Metazoa; Chordata; Actinopteri; Atheriniformes; Melanotaeniidae. The record is from RefSeq and is a predicted model, not a curated record. The transcript is spliced from 5 exons.